Haplochromis burtoni (Burton's mouthbrooder) is the source of this 862-nucleotide long non-coding RNA. RefSeq lists it as uncharacterized. The record is from RefSeq and is a predicted model, not a curated record. The transcript is spliced from 3 exons. NCBI's taxonomy places the organism in Eukaryota, Metazoa, Chordata, Actinopteri, Cichliformes, Cichlidae.
AUGUGAAGCACAUAGCAGCAGAAACUGUAAUGCCACAGAUCAGAGAAACUUCAUCAUCACCAUCUUCAUCGCCAUACGAUCAGAGCGUGAGACUUCACAUCUGGAGCACAGGAGAGAUUCUGUGAUAAGUCCUCCUUCUAGCUUGUCCCACAAGCAGUCGAGCUGAGACACUCAGGACUGAACAGACUGCACAGUUUCUGUGACUGAGCCUCCAAAACACCUUCUUUGAAACCACCAUGAUAGAAGGGCUUCAUAUUUGCAGCAGCACUACUACAGGUAUUCAGUUUAUUACAGGAUGUGUUUGUUUCUUAGGACCAGCUCUGAGUGCACACUACCUAACAUAUACACCUUUCUGUUCAUUACAAACCAACUACUCUGGAUCAUAUGGCCAGUUGGCAGGAAUGUUGCUGCAGGAAAACAUCCCUGGAGAUCACCAUCAUUGUCAGACUGACUGUGCCUCCUCUGUGCAGUGUCAAGAUCCUCCCUAAAUGAGUGUUCCUCAGCUAUCCUGCUUCUGUGCUGCUUGCCACACAUCAAACACUGGCCGGAUGACAGGGAGGAUCCACUCUGAAGUCACUGGACAUGAUGAGGAUCAUAUGGGACUUAUAGUUUCACAGAAACGAUGUGCUCUGUGAUUACAGGUUUUAAAUGGACAUAAUGACUGCCUCUCUCUGAUCAACAGGCUAAAGGAUUGUUGUCAUUGUUAGUGCUCUGUACAAUGUAUGCUUAUUUAGUAUUUCAUCACAGAGCAAACCUUUAUUUAUUUAACAUAUUUUUAUUUUGUUUUAAUGUUGAAUUAACUGUGGGGAUUUUUUUUAAGUGGGCACUCGGGAUGUCAUAUGACCAGAAAUGUGGUAACUGG